Long non-coding RNA from Coregonus clupeaformis (lake whitefish), 1101 nucleotides. RefSeq lists it as uncharacterized. The record is from RefSeq and is a predicted model, not a curated record. Lineage: Eukaryota; Metazoa; Chordata; Actinopteri; Salmoniformes; Salmonidae. The transcript is spliced from 7 exons.
ACCAGCAGCAAAACGAAUUUCUUCAUUUGAUCCUCGUUAGUUUUCGUAGGUAUGGGUGUCAUGGCAACAAAAUCAAUAAACGCUAACGUCCAUACCCUAAAUGGAGAGCGAAUUACGAGGUAACUGGAGUGAGGAGCUGGUAGGAGCCGGUCGGUGCGAGUUAAUAAUUUAAACUGGACAUUUGGUCACAUGUAGAAGGGGGUUUAAAUCGUCGCGGGAAAAGAUGGGGAAAUGUCACGGUGUCAACAUACUGUUACCAGAUGGAAAAGACCGCUCCCUGACUUUUGUGGCCCAUGCCCUGGGGAAGGCUUGUGUUCAGGGACACAGUGGGUUAGUGUUUGAAGUCUUCAACUUCAUUCCCAGACUCGUGUUUUGAGGAUUCUUCUGGGCUACCUGGCUCAGACAGGGAGAGUCCACUACUUAUACAGAGCUGCAGCAGUUCAUGCCGGGAGGGAUGCAGAGCCACCUGGACAGCAGCGUAGUGUGUGUGAGGGGCAUGGUGAUGGGGGAGUGUCUCCGCUCCUGCAUGUACAUCAACAGAGCCAAGCUCAAAUUCAAGGAUGACCAAGGAGCUGCUCUCACUGAUGAGUCCACUGUCUAAUGAAGAAACAGAGCCGCUUGAUGACAGAUUGGAUCUUCCUCAAGAGGUCAAAGGGCAGACUGCACCCUCUCAGGCAGUACCAACCCAGGAACGGACCCAGACUCAAGCUGGAUAGCCUUCCUCUCCUCUGAGGACCCAGUGAGGGUGGAGAUCAGUCAGAGAGCUGUUGAGGGACUGGUUAGGAAGAACACUUCUGCAGCCAGUGAGGUGAGCGGUCACACAUGGUUUAGAUGGUAAAUAUUUGUCACCAUAGCGGUUCAUCUUGUAAGCAAAAGGGAAUAUGUUCCAUCUACACUGAACAAAAAUAUACAGUGGGGGAAAAAAGUAUUUAGUCAGCCACCAAUUGUGCAAGUUCUCCCACUUAAAAAGAUGAGAGAGGCCUGUAAUUUUCAUCAUAGGUACACGUCAUAGGUUCUCUUUCGGACUGCCUUUUAUAUGUAAGGCUCAGAUUGUCCACAAGAAGUCACAAUGUCCUUCUUCUUAGUUGUCUGUUUACUUUC